Molecule: non-coding RNA, 874 nt
Organism: Sturnus vulgaris (Common starling)
Lineage: Eukaryota; Metazoa; Chordata; Aves; Passeriformes; Sturnidae
Source: RefSeq, a predicted model, not a curated record
GGAGGAGGAGGAAGAGAGAGAAAGACAGAAGUAAAAACCCUUGAAGGAUGGCUCUCCAAAAUUGCUGUCGGAAGCACGGGGAAUCCCUGGUAGCGCGGGAGCGGAGCUCCUUUCUGGAUUUAUCCUGAACGAGGAGUUACUGAAUUAACGCCCAGGCAAUGAGUGUCCUGUGUGAGAUGUGUGCAGAAGUCCUUCAUAAAUGGCUUUGAUCUGGAGAGGUUGUGCUGCCUUUUUCUGGUCUGAAUAGGAACCAUCUCCCCUGCCCCACUCGGAUCCUGCGACAUCUCCACGUUUCCAGUGAGGUAGGAUAACCUUGCCAAAGAGGAAAGGAAUUUGGACAGACUUAACAUCCAGCCUGUGCAGCUUCCACGAGCUGGACGCUAAAAUGAAGAGAGAGUUUAUUCAUUCCCAUCUCAACACAGCCCACCAGAAUUAAAAGACAUUUGAACCUACAAGGGGGAUUGGGUCAAACGCUUCCCAAGCUGCCUGCACAGAGAAGGCUGUUCAAAUCCUCUGGCCACCAAGUCCCCACAUUUCUGUGCUGGAUGUGAAGAGCAAAGGGAGCCUGGCAGGAAUCAGGAGGCGUCCAAGUAAGAGACAGCACCAGACAUAGGGACGAGAACUGGUACAGAGAACAGACAUUAGGGGAGGAAAAAAAUCCACCCCAAAACCUCAGUUAUUUCAACACAUACCAAAAGUGGAUUGACAGUGGAUGAAGAGGAGGAGGAGGCAAUAGUGAACACACAACACAGCUCAAGCUGGCAAGGAGCCCUUUCUUGAAGAAUGUAAGUUUAACCUUUAGCAUUCAAGUGUCUGGGCUUAAGUGUCAUUAUGAGCAAUACUUUCCUCCAGCACAGCCUCUCCUGCUUGGAGG